CCCAUCAGAGGUUGUCCUUCUUUCGCCUCACCUCCAACCCGGACGCAGCAACCCGGCCGGGCCCAACGCCGCAAAUCUCAGGUCUCUGCAGCGGAGGUGCACCUCGACUCUCCCCACAAUUCCCUUCGCAACACCACUUCCGGCUUACCUCACAAAUUCCACAUUCCAGCCGGAAACACCUGGAUAGGCCCUCUGCGCAUGCGUGAGACCGGGGAGGCGUCCGGGAGUUCAGAGAGCCGGCGGUGCAGGCUCCACUUUUCCACUUACCUACUCAAUGCCGGCAGUCUCGCGGGAUUUCCUCCUCUCGCGGGAGUUAUUUGAAUGCCUGAGCGGUAACCACUCCCUAGGGGCCUGGGGCCCUCUGACAAGAAGCCUGAGGAGGCGCCGUGGAGAGCUCUGCCUCUGGGUUGGUGGGCGGGUCGGCUGUAGCUGAACGCGGACAGGAUUUGUCCGGACAGAGUCCCAGAGCCAUGGGAGCGAAAAGAGACUGCUGCGGAUUAAGGAGGCCUUUCGGCUGGCGCAGCAGCCGCACCACAACCAGGCGAAGCUGGUGGUGUCGCUGAAUCGCUCCUGCCGCAGGGGUAACUGUCAGAUUCUGGAAAGAAUUAAAGAAUUGCUGGAUCCAAGAGGAAAUGUGUUUGCAAAUAUGAUAGAUAUUUACAAUUGCCCUUCAUGGAGUGAUCCGUUCUACACGCCUAUCAGCAGAGAAGAGAAUGAGAGUACUGAGGUAAACAGCAAUGAAGUUUUUGAUGUGCCAAAUUCUGAAUGAGGUCUCACUCUGUUGCCCAGGGUGCAGUACAGUAGUGCAAUCUUGGCUCACUGC
Long non-coding RNA from Piliocolobus tephrosceles (Ugandan red Colobus), 823 nucleotides. RefSeq lists it as uncharacterized. Lineage: Eukaryota; Metazoa; Chordata; Mammalia; Primates; Cercopithecidae. The record is from RefSeq and is a predicted model, not a curated record. The transcript has 4 exons.